AAAAUGACUCUCGGCAACGGAUAUCUCGGCCCUCACUUCGAUGAAGAACGCAGCGAAAUGCGAUACUUGGUGUGAAUUGCAGAAUCCCGUGAACCAUUGAUUCUUUGAACGCAAUUUGCGUCCCAAGCCUUUAGGCCGAGGGCACGCCUGCCCGGGUGUCACAC
RNAcentral lists this ribosomal RNA (164 nucleotides) under Oxalis oculifera. Its description in RNAcentral is "5.8S ribosomal RNA". It matches the Rfam family "5.8S ribosomal RNA". From Rfam's summary of the family: 5.8S ribosomal RNA (5.8S rRNA) is a component of the large subunit of the eukaryotic ribosome. It is transcribed by RNA polymerase I as part of the 45S precursor that also contains 18S and 28S rRNA. The record is from RNAcentral. Lineage: Eukaryota; Viridiplantae; Streptophyta; Magnoliopsida; Oxalidales; Oxalidaceae.